GAUGAACGCUGGCGGCGUGCCUAAUACAUGCAAGUCGAGCGAACAGACGAGGAGCUUUCUCCUCUGACGUUAGCGUCGGACGGGUGAGUAACACGUGGAUAACCUACCUAUAAGACUGGGAUAACUUCGGGAAACCGGAGCUAAUACCGGAUAAUAUAUUGAACCGCACGGUUCAAUAGUGAAAGACGGUUUUGCUGUCACUUAUAGAUGGAUCCGCGCCGCAUUAGCUAGUUGGUAAGGUAACGGCUUACCAAGGCAACGAUGCGUAGCCGACCUGAGAGGGUGAUCGGCCACACUGGAACUGAGACACGGUCCAGACUCCUACGGGAGGCAGCAGUAGGGAAUCUUCCGCAAUGGGCGAAAGCCUGACGGAGCAACGCCGCGUGAGUGAUGAAGGUCUUCGGAUCGUAAAACUCUGUUAUUAGGGAAGAACAAAUGUGUAAGUAACUAUGCACGUCUUGACGGUACCUAAUCAGAAAGCCACGGCUAACUACGUG
Molecule: ribosomal RNA, 497 nt
Filed under: uncultured bacterium
Lineage: Bacteria
Description: partial 16S ribosomal RNA
Rfam family: Bacterial small subunit ribosomal RNA
Source: RNAcentral